Molecule: ribosomal RNA, 467 nt
Filed under: uncultured bacterium
Lineage: Bacteria
Description: bacterial SSU rRNA
Rfam family: Bacterial small subunit ribosomal RNA
Source: RNAcentral
GACGACGCUGGCGGCGUGCCUAACACAUGCAAGUCGAACGGAGAUGUUGAUUUCGGGUUGACGUCUUAGUGGCGCACGGGUGAGUAACGCGUGAACAACCUGACCUUGAGAGGGGGAUAACAACGAGAAAUCGUUGCUAAUACCGCAUAAGACCACAACGCCGCAUGGCGAAGGGGUCAAAGGAGCAAUCCGCUCAGGGAGGGGUUCGCGUCCCAUUAGGUAGUAGGCGGGGUAACGGCCCACCUAGCCAGCGAUGGGUAGCCGAGCUGAGAGGCUGAUCGGCCACACUGGAACUGAGACACGGUCCAGACUCCUACGGGAGGCAGCAGUGGGGAAUAUUGGGCAAUGGGCGAAAGCCUGACCCAGCAACGCCGCGUGAGGGAAGAAGGUUUUCGGAUUGUAAACCUCUGUCGCAGAUGACGAAGGAAGUGACGGUAAUCUGUGAGGAAGCCCCGGCUAACUACGUG